AGAAUCAACGCUGGCGGCGUGCCUAACACAUGCAAGUCGAACGAGAAAGUGGGAGCAAUCCCACGAGUAAAGUGGCGCACGGGUGAGUAACACGUGACUAACCUACCCUUGAGUGGGGGGAUAACCUAGGGAAACCUGGGCUAAUACCGCAUAAUACCUACGGGUCAAAGGAGCAAUUCGCUUAAGGAGGGGGUCGCGGCAGAUUAGUUAGUUGGCGGGGUAAUGGCCCACCAAGACAGUGAUCUGUAUCCGGCCUGAGAGGGCGCACGGACACACUGGAACUGAAACACGGUCCAGACUCCUACGGGAGGCAGCAGUGGGGAAUUUUGCGCAAUGGGGGAAACCCUGACGCAGCAACGCCGCGUGGAGGAUGAAGCCCCUUGGGGCGUAAACUCCUUUCGAUCGGGAAGAUAAUGACGGUACCGGAAGAAGAAGCCUGGCUAACUUCGCGCCAGCAGCCGC
RNAcentral lists this ribosomal RNA (462 nucleotides) under uncultured bacterium. Its description in RNAcentral is "SSU rRNA". It matches the Rfam family "Bacterial small subunit ribosomal RNA", at positions 26 to 518 of the family's 1533-position model. The record is from RNAcentral.